UAAGGAAUAUUGGUCAAUGGACGAAAGUCUGAACCAGCCAUGCCGCGUGAAGGAUGAAGGUCCUCCGGAUUGUAAACUUCUUUUAUAAGGGACGAAAAAGGGUUUUUGAACUCGUCUGACAGUACCUUAUGAAUAAGCACCGGCUAACUCCGUGCCAGCAGCCGCGGUAAUACGGAGGGUGCAAGCGUUAUCCGGAUUCACUGGGUUUAAAGGGUGCGUAGGCGGACAGGAAAGUCCGUGGUGAAAUCCUGCAGCUUAACUGCAGAACUGCCGUGGAUACUCUCUGUCUUGAAUAUCGUGGAGGUGAGCGGAAUAUGUCAUGUAGCGGUGAAAUGCAUAGAGAUGACAUAGAACACCGAUUGCGAAGGCAGCUCACUACGCGAAGAUUGACGCUGAGGCACGAAAGCGUGGGGAUCAAACAGGAUUAGAUACCCUGGUAGUCCACGCCCUAAACGAUGAUUACUCGACAUACGCGAUAUACAGUGUGUGU
Molecule: ribosomal RNA, 490 nt
Filed under: uncultured bacterium
Lineage: Bacteria
Description: bacterial SSU rRNA
Rfam family: Bacterial small subunit ribosomal RNA
Source: RNAcentral